This 187-nucleotide ribosomal RNA is filed under the name uncultured bacterium. RNAcentral's name for it is "partial small subunit ribosomal RNA". It matches the Rfam family "Bacterial small subunit ribosomal RNA", at positions 26 to 218 of the family's 1533-position model. The record is from RNAcentral.
AGCCUGAACGCUGGCGGCGUGGCUAAGACAUGCAAGUCGAACGGGUGUAGCAAUACACCAGUGGCGGACGGGUGAGUAAUGUAUCGCUAACGUGCCCUGGAGCCAGGGAUAGCUGACCCGAAAGGGCAGGUAAUACCUGAUGACAUAACCUUAUCGCAUGACAAGGUUCUCAAAGCAGCAAUGCUAC